CCUCGGGGUGCCCGGCGUAUUCGGGUGGCGUUUUGGGGAUGCUCCUGAAUGCGCAGGGAGCAGCACGAUUUCCACCCCUCAUCCCCUGAGCUGAGACUCCUGCACUCCCAGAGCUCCCACCUUCUCCUGCACACCCUGACCGAUCGGUACAGGGACCAAAAUGUGUCACCGGCAACAUUUUUAGAGAACUUCAAGUACUCCAGGGUUUAUCUCUUUCAGAAGCACACCAACAGGAGUUAACGGAGACCCUGCUCCCACACAGCAUCAACUUGCUUAAGCAUCACCAUCUUCUCCACCUUCAGUUGUCUCCACUAAACCUGCCCACGGACACGCACAGAGCCAGAGCAAUGGUGACAGUUUAUUUCCUUCAAAAGAGGAGCUGGUGAAGUGAAACCGUGCUGAAUCCUCAUGCAGUCCGUAACAAUUACCUGCUGUGCGUUUGACCUUGCUGAGUGAGACAGGGGUUAUGAAGCUGAACUACAGCUUGAGGUGGCCACACAGCAUCCUGUCCCAGGACAGCUGUCUUCUCUGCUAAGCCCUCUGGAGGAGACGGAAUAAGGUAAUCAACAGGAAACUUCAGUUAUUUAACACUGCUUGCCACCCCGUGUGGGUUUACUAAAGCAGCUUUUCCUCAAGAGCGACGUGAAAAAUAAAUGCACAGCAUCCUGCUAGACACACUGGACGUUUUGAUGCUCACGGGAGAUGGUAAAAAGAAGAGUGUUUUCGAAAGCAGCUUUUGGCAUCCACAAAGCAUGAGGUUUGUGCUGAGGUCUGGGACAUCCGACUGAAAUGAUUUUCAUUAGAUAACAGCACGAAGAUGGACUAAUAGGGAUUUGAUUACCCUGCCUGCCUCUGAUACUUUUGGCUACCAAAACUCCAGCACAUUCUCAGCCUGCCGUAUGUAUAGUGCCCUAUGUAUAGAGCAGGUGAACUGGCUGCCCAGUACACAUCCACAGCUCUGGUUUCAGAACCGUGGCAUACAGCUGAAAAAGCAUUAACCUUUGUUAUGAUCUCCCAUUGCCAUUAAUCACGUUUCGAGCGCCUUUGCCACCGUGUCAGAGUACCUAAAGAAAUGUUCUUGAUGAAGGCAGUCGGUUCACUUGGACUCCGGCCAGAAUAAAGCCGUGUUUGUCCUCAGAGAGAUGCUACAAAGAACUGGCCACAAUGCGGUCGCUCUCUUUUGUCUGCAGUAAACAGCCCUCCUUCAUCAGGAUAUUGCAAAAUCUCAGUGUAGUCAUCGCAUCAGUCUCAAAAAUGCAUAUUUUUCUUUCAUGUUUUAGUUUAUUAGAAGGUUAAGUUAUUUUCUUCUGAACAAUGACUCAGGAUGUAAUAACCUCCGUGUUUAUCACAGGCAUGCCAGAUCACUGGAACUCAGGCAAUCUGAAGUGAAUUGUGAGAGUUUGUGUAGGUUUCCACAAGUACAAAACUCAGAUGCUCAGUUUUUGCAAUGGUUCUGGUUUAUCUGUAUAAAUAUAUAUAUAUAUGUGUGCAUCAAGUCCGUGCUAGUAUUCCUUCCCUGGAUGCAGUGUAAGGAAGCCUGGGUCUUCACUUGUGAAGCGAUUAAUAGUUGAGGCUGCAACUGUAUUUCACUCUAAUAAUUCUUGCAGAAACUGUGCUCCUCUGGGACAAGGCAGGACACAAAGUCUGGUAUAAAAUUUGUGAGACCUGAAUAAAAUUCAGUCUCAUCAAAUCAGCUCUGGAACUGUCUUGCACAGUGGCUCAGGCAAAUCAGGAAUUUGUUUGCCUUUUAGAUAGUUCUGAAUGUUUCUUCCCUUCAAGACAACUUUUGCAGCAUAAAUGCAUUUCAGUUCGGAUUUCUCAUGAAAAGGAGGAAAGGUGUUGACGCCCAGCCAUAGCCAGGGUGGUGCCUCCUCCCAGGGCUCGUCGCACAAAGAGGCACCAUUGGGUGCAGAAGGACCACCCCAGUGUCCCUCUGUGCCGCGUGGUCUUUCUGCUGGGACCACAUCCAUUGUGCACUCUCAUGCAAGGGGUUUGACUGACCCAGAGGGCUGGAGAGGACCUCUGGGGUACCUAGGACAUAACCCCAACCUGGAGCAGUAUCCCCUACACCUGUAGGAAAGUUUUGAUGUGCUUGGCCCCUUCUAUUAAAAAUCUCCAGUGAGGGAGGUCCGAGGAUUUUGCAUGCCAUGUAUCUACUGCUUAACUGUUACUGUGAUCCUAAUAACCCAGCCGAAUCUUCCUUGCUGCAGAUGAAAUACUUGGCUCGUUAUGCUAACAAGGAUGCUGAGAACAGGUAGGUUGUUCCUGCCUCUUCACAGAAGCCCUUUGUGUAUUUGAAGACUGUGAUUAAACCUGUCAGCCUUCAUUUCUUUACACUCCCCCUCCCUCGCUCAUUCAAACUUCUCAUGUAGGCUGAGUUUUCUAGGUCCUUGAUUAUUUUCUGGACUUGUGAAAGUUGGCAGCUUCCUCCUUGAACUGCAGCACGUGAAGCUGACCAUGAUCCUUCAGCCGAGCCCUUACCAGCAAUGAAUGCAGUGGAAAGAUCACCUGAGGUGCUCUGCAAGUUGUACGGCUGUUAUAUGAAAUUUGGAAGUCUGAGCUAACAGGGCUGUGGGGACACGAUGCACUGAAAUGGAGGAGAAUUGAGCCACGCUGGUAAGGGAGGAGCGGAGCCUUCCAGUAGAUGGUUUUGCUUCUAUAAGUAUUUCAAUGCUUUUAGUGAAGGUAAAGCCUAUUAUGAUUAAAUGACCAAUGCCAAUGUUAUAGUACCCUGAAGGUGUUAUUUAG
This is a long non-coding RNA of Calidris pugnax (ruff), 2748 nucleotides long. RefSeq lists it as uncharacterized. The record is from RefSeq and is a predicted model, not a curated record. The transcript is spliced from 4 exons. NCBI's taxonomy places the organism in Eukaryota, Metazoa, Chordata, Aves, Charadriiformes, Scolopacidae.